GCCCCGUUGGCGGAACUGGUAGACGCGCUCGGCUCAAACCCGAGUUCCCUACGGAGUGAGGGUUCGAUUCCCUCAUGGGGCACGA
Molecule: transfer RNA, 85 nt
Filed under: Bifidobacterium longum subsp. longum
Lineage: Bacteria; Bacillati; Actinomycetota; Actinomycetes; Bifidobacteriales; Bifidobacteriaceae
Also listed under: 1 other name
Description: tRNA-Leu
Rfam family: tRNA
About the family: Transfer RNA (tRNA) molecules are approximately 80 nucleotides in length. Their secondary structure includes four short double-helical elements and three loops (D, anti-codon, and T loops).
Source: RNAcentral